GUCGUAAGGUAUGCUUGUUUAAGCUAUCUUGCCCCUAUCUUUUGAUCAGUGCUCUUGUUUUAGUGAUGGGAACAUAUGAUUAUGAUUUAAGUUUUGAUAAUGGUAUUGUUUAAAUCCAUAAUAGUACUGAAUGUCUCUAAUGAUGAUGUUUAGCUUAAAACUUUCGUUCUUCUGAGAAAUUACGCAUGUGGAAUUCAUAUGGAGACCCGAACUGAAGAGACAUCUUUUUAGGGUUUUAUAUAUUUUUUGUAUUUGGGAUUUUUUUUUCUUUCCUCUUGGCUUGCCAUUAACUGGGUUGUAAGUGGUCUGAUAAUUAUAACUUAAAAUGCUUAAAACCAGUAGUAAAUGAUCUUUAUGUUGCCUCUAAGGAUGAUUAGUAGAAUACUGAUGUUCCAUGCGGAAACUUUCUGGAGACCUGAACUGAAGAGGCUUGAUUCUGAUUUCUUUAUUGAAAUUCUGGACUAUUGAACCUUUCCUUUUAGUUCAUUUUUAGCUCAUAAUUGAUCUUUUUUAGUACUUUUUUAGUAAGAGUUUAAUCCUUUUGAAGAUUUGAUGAGGGUUUAUCAAUUUGGCAAUUGAAGAUAAUGCCUGUGUCUUAGGUUCGUGUUUUGAAGCAAAACUAACUUUUGAGCUUUCGUAGUGUUGGUUUGAUUGAUUUUAUAUAUCAUUAUGUCUAGUAACUGUCCUCCUCCAUUGUUUGAGGACUUGAAUUCGUCUACUUUGAAUUGCAUAUUUUUGUCUAAGAAAUUUCAAUUUUAAAUCUCAAAAUUAUAUAGUACAGUUUUUAUUUUCUUGUUGUUUCAUUUAUUGUUGUUUUAGACAUUGAAGAUCUUUUUUCCUCUCUAAAGAUGUGGUUUUAUAAACUUUCGUUCUCCUGAGCUUAUAAUGCUGAAAAAUUGUGGAGACCUGAGCUGAAGAGUUUUAAAGAAGAUCUUCAAUGUCUGAUCUGGUUAUUUGUUAUUUUCAAUUUGCAUUGUUUUACUUGCAAAGUAAGAAGAAAUAUGCCAAUCAGUUUUCAAAAGUUGGAAUGAAGAACUCCUUGCUAAUUUGUUGUCCAAAAAAUGCCAAAAUUAUUUUUCAAUUGAUUCUUAAGCCUGUACAAUAGUAGAUUUGAUAUUACCUUUUCCCUUGAUGACUAGCCCUGGUACAUUACCAUCUUUCUUUUGCCCUUUCAAAUUGCGGAUUUAUGAUACCUCAUUAUGUUUGUUUUAUCGGACAUUAAUUUUUCUUUUUCUUGUGAAAUGAAACCUGGGUUCUUAUAGAAUGAUGAUCCUUUUUCCCUGCUUGAUGCAUGUGUCAUUUUUAUCGUAAAUUUGUUUCCUAUCUAAUUAAUUGUUUUAUUUAUUCUUUUGGCUUAGUGCUGGGGUAUUUGUUGAACACAAUCUUAAAAAGUGCAAAUUCCUUUCAAGAUGAGGUAUUGGUUGAUCUUUCUUUCAUCUUUAUUCAACUAUC
Molecule: unclassified non-coding RNA, 1452 nt
Filed under: Hevea brasiliensis (rubber tree)
Lineage: Eukaryota; Viridiplantae; Streptophyta; Magnoliopsida; Malpighiales; Euphorbiaceae
Rfam family: Small nucleolar RNA Z159/U59 (bases 133-221)
Source: RNAcentral